GCGCCUGUAGCUCAGCGGAUUAGAGCAUCUCGCUUCGGACGAGAGGGUCGGGGGUUCAAUUCCCUCCAGGCGCGCCA
RNAcentral lists this transfer RNA (77 nucleotides) under Candidatus Gottesmanbacteria bacterium RIFOXYB1_FULL_47_11. RNAcentral describes it as "tRNA-Arg". It matches the Rfam family "tRNA". From Rfam's summary of the family: Transfer RNA (tRNA) molecules are approximately 80 nucleotides in length. Their secondary structure includes four short double-helical elements and three loops (D, anti-codon, and T loops). The record is from RNAcentral. Lineage: Bacteria; Candidatus Gottesmaniibacteriota.